CCUACGGGUGGCAGCAGUGGGGAAUAUUGGGCAAUGGAGGCAACUCUGACCCAGCAACGCCGCGUGAAUGAUGAAGGUCUUCGGAUUGUAAAGUUCUGUGAUGGGGGAUGAACACAAUGACGGUACCUUAGGAAUAAGCCUCGGCUAACUACGUACCAGCCGCCGCGGUAAUACGUAGGAGGCAAGCGUUAUCCGGAAUGACUGGGCGUAAAGGGGGCGUAGGUGGUUGGACAAGUUAGUAGCGCAACUCCGGAGCUCAACUUCGGAACUACUACUAAAACUGUUGGACUUGAGUGCAGGAGAGGUAAGUGGAAUUCCUAGUGUAGCGGUGGAAUGCGUAGAUAUUAGGAGGAACACCAGUGGCGAAGGCGGAUUGCUAGACUGUAACUGACACUGAGGCACGAAAGCGUGGGGAGCAAACAGGAUUAGAUACCCCAGUAGUC
This 443-nucleotide ribosomal RNA is filed under the name uncultured bacterium. RNAcentral's name for it is "partial 16S ribosomal RNA". It matches the Rfam family "Bacterial small subunit ribosomal RNA", at positions 338 to 795 of the family's 1533-position model. The record is from RNAcentral.